CUCGAGACUAGCCAGCAGCAAUUAGCAAACACCUCGUGGAACUGUUCAUCUGCUGAGCUCAUUGUAGGAGCUACUACUCAGUGCAACUCUGGUGAAAAUGUUGAUAAAGAGUUAACAGAAGAGUUAAUGUUGUGAUGACUUUCUGAAGGCGGAGUUUCAUAAAGAGCAAAGUUUUAAGGCUAAUUUUGAGACCUUAAAUUAGAAAGUAAAAUUUCUUUUUAGUCAGACUUGAUAUUUAUAGCAUUUAUUUAACAACUGAAGUUAACAUAUUUACAUAAUUGUG
Molecule: long non-coding RNA, 283 nt
Organism: Xiphophorus hellerii (green swordtail)
Lineage: Eukaryota; Metazoa; Chordata; Actinopteri; Cyprinodontiformes; Poeciliidae
Exons: 3
Source: RefSeq, a predicted model, not a curated record